UUACCCUUAAGCUCUGCUUAGUGUUGGGUGUUUGUCCCGCUUCGCGCGUGGACUCGCCUUAAAGCCAUUGGCAGCCGGCAUAUUGUCUCGGAGCGAAGCACAUUUUGCGCUUCUGACAUGAAUGUUGGUAUCCAGUAAGCCUUUACAUUUGC
This 152-nucleotide unclassified non-coding RNA is filed under the name uncultured Pleosporales. Its description in RNAcentral is "partial internal transcribed spacer 2". Lineage: Eukaryota; Fungi; Ascomycota; Dothideomycetes; Pleosporales. The record is from RNAcentral.